AAUCCAUGCAUCGAAAAUUUCUGAAUUAAGUCUUUAAAUCGUUCCCAAGCUUCAUAUAAUGUUUCAUCCUCUGAGUGCUGAAAAUGUGUGAUUUCAUUUCUAAGCUU
Molecule: non-coding RNA, 107 nt
Organism: Gossypium arboreum
Lineage: Eukaryota; Viridiplantae; Streptophyta; Magnoliopsida; Malvales; Malvaceae
Source: Rfam